This 226-nucleotide ribosomal RNA is filed under the name uncultured bacterium. RNAcentral's name for it is "partial 16S ribosomal RNA". It matches the Rfam family "Bacterial small subunit ribosomal RNA", at positions 15 to 240 of the family's 1533-position model. The record is from RNAcentral.
GAUCCUGGCUCAGGACGAACGCUGGCGGCGUGCUUAACACAUGCAAGUCGAACGAUGAUGAGGGAGCUUGCUUCCUCUGAUUAGUGGCGAACGGGUGAGUAACACGUGAGCAAUCUGCCCCAGACUCCGGGAUAACUGCGGGAAACUGUAGCUAAUACUGGAUAUGCACCGAACAGGCAUCUGUAUCGGUGGAAAGAAUUUUGGUCUGGGAUGAGCUCGCGGCCUA